AUAUGAACCGUUAUAACCGGCGAUGUCCGAAUGGGGAAACCCAGUGCAAUUCGUUGCACUAUCGUUAACUGAAUACAUAGGUUAACGAGGCGAACCGGGGGAACUGAAACAUCUAAGUACCCCGAGGAAAAGAAAUCAACCGAGAUUCCCCCAGUAGCGGCGAGCGAACGGGGAGCAGCCCAGAGUCUGAAUCAGCUUGUGUGUUAGUGGAACGGUCUGGAAAGUCCGACGGUACAGGGUGAUAGUCCCGUACACCAAAAUGCACAGGUUGUGAACUCGAAGAGUAGGGCGGGACACGUGGUAUCCUGUCUGAAUAUGGGGGGACCAUCCUCCAAGGCUAAAUACUCCUGACUGACCGAUAGUGAACCAGUACCGUGAGGGAAAGGCGAAAAGAACCCCGGCGAGGGGAGUGAAAAAGAACCUGAAACCGUGUACGUACAAGCAGUGGGAGCACCUUCGGGUGUGACUGCGUACCUUUUGUAUAAUGGGUCAGCGACUUAUAUUCUGUAGCAAGGUUAACCGUAUAGGGGAGCCGCAGGGAAACCGAGUCUUAACUGGGCGUUAAGUUGCAGGGUAUAGACCCGAAACCCGGUGAUCUAGCCAUGGGCAGGUUGAAGGUUGGGUAACACUAACUGGAGGACCGAACCGACUAAUGUUGAAAAAUUAGCGGAUGACUUGUGGCUGGGGGUGAAAGGCCAAUCAAACCGGGAGAUAGCUGGUUCUCCCCGAAAGCUAUUUAGGUAGCGCCUCGUGAAUUCAUCUUCGGGGGUAGAGCACUGUUUCGGCUAGGGGGUCAUCCCGACUUACCAACCCGAUGCAAACUACGAAUACCGAAGAAUGUUAUCACGGGAGACACACGGCGGGUGCUAACGUCCGUCGUGAAGAGGGAAACAACCCAGACCGCCAGCUAAGGUCCCAAAGUCAUGGUUAAGUGGGAAACGAUGUGGGAAGGCACAGACAGCCAGGAUGUUGGCUUAGAAGCAGCCAUCAUUUAAAGAAAGCGUAAUAGCUCACUGGUCGAGUCGGCCUGCGCGGAAGAUGUAACGGGGCUAAACCAUGCACCGAAGCUGCGGCAGCGACACUAUGUGUUGUUGGGUAGGGGAGCG
RNAcentral lists this ribosomal RNA (1106 nucleotides) under Klebsiella pneumoniae. RNAcentral's name for it is "partial 23S ribosomal RNA". It matches the Rfam family "Bacterial large subunit ribosomal RNA", at positions 88 to 1238 of the family's 2925-position model. The record is from RNAcentral. Lineage: Bacteria; Pseudomonadati; Pseudomonadota; Gammaproteobacteria; Enterobacterales; Enterobacteriaceae.